GUGCUUGCACCGGUGAUUAGUGGCGAACGGGUGAGUAACACGUGAGUAACCUGCCCUUAACUCUGGGAUAAGCCUGGGAAACUGGGUCUAAUACCGGAUAUGACUCCUCAUCGCAUGGUGGGGGGUGGAAAGCUUUUUUGUGGUUUUGGAUGGACUCGCGGCCUAUCAGCUUGUUGGUGAGGUAAUGGCUCACCAAGGCGACGACGGGUAGCCGGCCUGAGAGGGUGACCGGCCACACUGGGACUGAGACACGGCCCAGACUCCUACGGGAGGCAGCAGUGGGGAAUAUUGCACAAUGGGCGCAAGCCUGAUGCAGCGACGCCGCGUGAGGGAUGACGGCCUUCGGGUUGUAAACCUCUUUCAGUAGGGAAGAAGCGAAAGUGACGGUACCUGCAGAAGAAGCGCCGGCUAACUACGUGCCAGCAGCCGCGGUAAUACGUAGGGCGCAAGCGUUAUCCGGAAUUAUUGGGCGUAAAGAGCUCGUAGGCGGUUUGUCGCGUCUGCCGUGAAAGUCCGGGGCUCAACUCCGGAUCUGCGGUGGGUACGGGCAGACUAGAGUGAUGUAGGGGAGACUGGAAUUCCUGGUGUAGCGGUGAAAUGCGCAGAUAUCAGGAGGAACACCGAUGGCGAAGGCAGGUCUCUGGGCAUUAACUGACGCUGAGGAGCGAAAGCAUGGGGAGCGAACAGGAUUAGAUACCCUGGUAGUCCAUGCCGUAAACGUUGGGCACUAGGUGUGGGGGACAUUCCACGUUUUCCGCGCCGUAGCUAACGCAUUAAGUGCCCCGCCUGGGGAGUACGGC
Molecule: ribosomal RNA, 800 nt
Filed under: Arthrobacter sp.
Lineage: Bacteria; Bacillati; Actinomycetota; Actinomycetes; Micrococcales; Micrococcaceae
Description: bacterial SSU rRNA
Rfam family: Bacterial small subunit ribosomal RNA
Source: RNAcentral